AAGUCGAGCGGCAGCACGGGAAGCUUGCUUCCUGGUGGCGAGCGGCGGACGGGUGAGUAAUGCAUAGGAAUCUGCCCGAUAGUGGGGGAUAACCUGGGGAAACCCAGGCUAAUACCGCAUACGUCCUACGGGAGAAAGCGGGGGCUCCGUGUUCUUCGGAAUGGGGACCUCGCGCUAUCGGAUGAGCCUAUGUCGGAUUAGCUAGUUGGUGAGGUAACGGCCCACCAAGGCGACGAUCCGUAGCUGGUCUGAGAGGAUGAUCAGCCACAUCGGGACUGAGACACGGCCCGAACUCCUACGGGAGGCAGCAGUGGGGAAUAUUGGACAAUGGGCGCAAGCCUGAUCCAGCCAUGCCGCGUGUGUGAAGAAGGCUUUCGGGUUGUAAAGCACUUUCAGUGGGGAAGAAGGCCUGACGGCCAAUACCCGUCAGGGGCGACAUCACCCACAGAAGAAGCACCGGCUAACUCCGUGCCAGCAGCCGCGGUAAUACGGAGGGUGCAAGCGUUAAUCGGAAUUACUGGGCGUAAAGCGCGCGUAGGCGGCCACAUCAGCCGGUUGUGAAAGCCCCGGGCUCAACCUGGGAACGGCAUCCGGAACUGUGUGGCUAGAGUGCAGGAGAGGAAGGUAGAAUUCCCGGUGUAGCGGUGAAAUGCGUAGAGAUCGGGAGGAAUACCAGUGGCGAAGGCGGCCUUCUGGACUGACACUGACGCUGAGGUGCGAAAGCGUGGGUAGCAAACAGGAUUAGAUACCCUGGUAGUCCACGCCGUAAACGAUGUCGACUAGCCGUUGGGUGCCUCGAGCACUUUGUGGCGAAGUUAACGCGAUAAGUCGACCGCCUGGGGAGUACGGCCGCAAGGUUAAAACUCAAAUGAAUUGACGGGGGCCCGCACAAGCGGUGGA
Molecule: ribosomal RNA, 900 nt
Filed under: Halomonas sp. SCULCB HNA-24
Lineage: Bacteria; Pseudomonadati; Pseudomonadota; Gammaproteobacteria; Oceanospirillales; Halomonadaceae
Description: bacterial SSU rRNA
Rfam family: Bacterial small subunit ribosomal RNA
Source: RNAcentral